CUACGGGCCGCAGCAGUAGGGAAUAUUGGACAAUGGGGGCAACCCUGAUCCAGCCAUGCCGCGUGUGUGAAGAAGGCCUUUUGGUUGUAAAGCACUUUAAGCAGGGAGGAGAGGCUAAUGGUUAAUACCCAUUAGAUUAGACGUUACCUGCAGAAUAAGCACCGGCUAACUCUGUGCCAGCAGCCGCGGUAAUACAGAGGGUGCGAGCGUUAAUCGGAAUUACUGGGCGUAAAGCGAGUGUAGGUGGCUCAUUAAGUCACAUGUGAAAUCCCCGGGCUUAACCUGGGAACUGCAUGUGAUACUGGUGGUGCUAGAAUAUGUGAGAGGGAAGUAGAAUUCCAGGUGUAGCGGUGAAAUGCGUAGAGAUCUGGAGGAAUACCGAUGGCGAAGGCAGCUUCCUGGCAUAAUAUUGACACUGAGAUUCGAAAGCGUGGGUAGCAAACAGGAUUAGAUACCCUUGUAGUC
RNAcentral lists this ribosomal RNA (465 nucleotides) under uncultured bacterium. RNAcentral describes it as "partial 16S ribosomal RNA". It matches the Rfam family "Bacterial small subunit ribosomal RNA", at positions 339 to 795 of the family's 1533-position model. The record is from RNAcentral.